RNAcentral lists this ribosomal RNA (324 nucleotides) under uncultured eukaryote. RNAcentral's name for it is "partial 18S ribosomal RNA". It matches the Rfam family "Eukaryotic small subunit ribosomal RNA", at positions 1470 to 1796 of the family's 1831-position model. The record is from RNAcentral.
CCCUUAGAUGCUCUGGGCCGCACGCGCGCUACACUGGUCGAUGCAACGAGUUUCUUUCCUUGGCCGACAGGCCUGGGCAAUCUUUGAACAUCGAUCGUGAUCGGGAUAGAUUCUUGUAAUUUUUGAUCUUAAACAAGGAAUUCCUAGUAAACGCAAGUCAUCAGCUUGCAUUGAUUACGUCCCUGCCCUUUGUACACACCGCCCGUCGCACCUACCGAUUGAAUGGUCCGGUGAAAUCUCCGGACUGGCGUGAGUCGGAGCAAUCUGACAAACACCGGAAAGUUGAUUAAACCUUACCAUUUAGAGGAAGGUGAAGUCGUAACA